AACGCGAAGAACCUUACCUACCCUUGACAUGCCAGGAAGCCCGCUGAGAGGUGGGUGUGCCCGAAAGGGAGCCUGGACACAGGUGCUGCAUGGCUGUCGUCAGCUCGUGUCGUGAGAUGUUGGGUUAAGUCCCGCAACGAGCGCAACCCUUGUCACUAGUUGCUACGCAAGGGCACUCUAGUGAGACUGCCGGUGACAAACCGGAGGAAGGUGGGGAUGACGUCAAGUCCUCAUGGCCCUUAUGGGUAGGGCUUCACACGUCAUACAAUGGCGCAUACAAAGGGCUGCCAACCCGCGAGGGGGAGCCAAUCCCAGAAAGUGCGUCGUAGUCCGGAUUGCAGUCUGCAACUCGACUGCAUGAAGUCGGAAUCGCUAGUAAUCGCGGAUCAGCAAUGUCGCGGUGAAUACGUUCCCGGGCCUUGUACACACCGCUCGUC
RNAcentral lists this ribosomal RNA (437 nucleotides) under uncultured bacterium. RNAcentral's name for it is "bacterial SSU rRNA". It matches the Rfam family "Bacterial small subunit ribosomal RNA", at positions 958 to 1398 of the family's 1533-position model. The record is from RNAcentral.